GACGAACGCUGGCGGCGUGCCUAACACAUGCAAGUCGAACGGUAAGGCCCUUCGGGGUACAUGAGUGGCGAACGGGUGAGUAACACGUGGGUGAUCUGCCCUGCACUUCGGGAUAAGCCUGGGAAACUGGGUCUAAUACCGGAUAGGACCACUGCCUGCAUGGGUGGUGGUGGAAAGCUUUUGCGGUGUGGGAUGGGCCCGCGGCCUAUCAGCUUGUUGGUGGGGUGAUGGCCUACCAAGGCGACGACGGGUAGCCGGCCUGAGAGGGUGACCGGCCACACUGGGACUGAGAUACGGCCCAGACUCCUACGGGAGGCAGCAGUGGGGAAUAUUGCACAAUGGGCGCAAGCCUGAUGCAGCGACGCCGCGUGAGGGAUGACGGCCUUCGGGUUGUAAACCUCUUUCAGCACCGACGAAGCGCAAGUGACGGUAGGUGCAGAAGAAGGACCGGCCAACUACGUGCCAGCCGCCGCGGUAA
Molecule: ribosomal RNA, 478 nt
Filed under: uncultured bacterium
Lineage: Bacteria
Description: partial 16S ribosomal RNA
Rfam family: Bacterial small subunit ribosomal RNA
Source: RNAcentral